GAUGAACGCUGGCGGCGUGCUUAACACAUGCAAGUCGAACGAAGCACUUAAGAUUGAUUCUUCGGAUGACGUCUUUUGUGACUUAGUGGCGGACGGGUGAGUAACGCGUGGGUAACCUGCCUCACACAGGGGGAUAACAGUUAGAAAUGACUGCUAAUACCGCAUAACCCGAUAGGAUCGCAUGAUCCAGACGGAAAAGAUUUAUCGGUGUGAGAUGGACCCGCGUCUGAUUAGCUAGUUGGUGAGGUAACGGCCCACCAAGGCGACGAUCAGUAGCCGGCCUGAGAGGGUGAACGGCCACAUUGGGACUGAGACACGGCCCAAACUCCUCCGGGAGGCAGCAGUGGGGAAUAUUGCACAAUGGGGGAAACCCUGAUGCAGCGACGCCGCGUGAGUGAAGAAGUAUUUCGGUAUGUAAAGCUCUAUCAGCAGGGAAGAAAAUGACGGUACCUGACUAAGAAGCCCCGGCUAACUACGUG
RNAcentral lists this ribosomal RNA (479 nucleotides) under uncultured bacterium. RNAcentral describes it as "partial 16S ribosomal RNA". It matches the Rfam family "Bacterial small subunit ribosomal RNA", at positions 28 to 507 of the family's 1533-position model. The record is from RNAcentral.